Molecule: ribosomal RNA, 1284 nt
Filed under: Lopadostoma gastrinum
Lineage: Eukaryota; Fungi; Ascomycota; Sordariomycetes; Xylariales; Xylariaceae
Description: LSU rRNA
Rfam family: Eukaryotic large subunit ribosomal RNA
Source: RNAcentral
ACAGGAAUGCCCUAGUAACGGCGAGUGAAGCGGCAACAGCUCAAAUUUGAAAUCUGGCCCUCGGGUCCGAGUCAUAAUUUGUAGAGGAUGCUUUUGGUGCGGCGCCUUCCGAGUUCCCUGGAACGGGACGCCAUAGAGGGUGAGAGCCCCGUACGGUUGGAUGCCUAGCCUCUGUAAAGCUCCUUCGACGAGUCGAGUAGUUUGGGAAUGCUGCUCUAAAUGGGAGGUAAAUUUCUUCUAAAGCUAAAUACCGGCCAGAGACCGAUAGCGCACAAGUAGAGUGAUCGAAAGAUGAAAAGCACUUUGAAAAGAGGGUUAAAUAGCACGUGAAAUUGUUGAAAGGGAAGCGCUCAUGACCAGACUUUUGCCUGGCGGAUCACCCGGCGUUCUCGCCGGUGCACUUCGUCAGGCUGAGGCCAGCAUCGAUUUCUGUAGGGGGAUAAAGACUUCGGGAAAGUAGCUUCCUUCGGGGAGUGUUAUAGCCCGCUGUGUAAUACCCUUACGGGGAUCGAGGUUCGCGCUUCUGCAAGGAUGCUGGCAUAAUGGUCAUCAGCGACCCGUCUUGAAACACGGACCAAGGAGUCGAACAUUUAUGCGAGUGUUUGGGUGUUAAACCCUCACGCGUAAUGAAAGUGAACGGAGGUGAGAGCUCUAAAGGGUGCAUCAUCGACCGAUCCUGAUGUCUUCGGAUGGAUUUGAGUAAGAGCAUAACUGUUCGGACCCGAAAGAUGGUGAACUAUGCGUGGAUAGGGUGAAGCCAGAGGAAACUCUGGUGGAGGCUCGCAGCGGUUCUGACGUGCAAAUCGAUCGUCAAAUCUGCGCAUGGGGGCGAAAGACUAAUCGAACCAUUAACGGAAACACCAGCGGUAAAUAAUUAUUUACUAGGUGGUUUAGAGGCCUCUCGCGAGAGCAGGUCUAGGUCGGCGCCUACCCGGGACCUAUCCGGGUAGCUACUCGGAAACUAUCCCAUAGUUGCUUACCCGGGAGCUACCCUGUAGUAACGGGUAGCCGACCGACACCGCUAAAUUGCGGGGACAUCCUAUAGAAGGCUCCGGGCUACCGCCGCACGCUGAAAAGCGCCUGCGGCACCAAGAGUAACGCUCUUGGGUACGGUAAGAACGCCCGGGGUAUCGGACGACCUGCAGCCAACCCCGUCAGCCCCGGUAGGGGGCCUAGGGGAGAGUUCACUGACUAAACAGCGGUGGGUCCCGCGGCGGGGUGUCGCGGGGCUUAAGACAUAGUCGAUCCGGGCCCUGAAAAGGUGACCCUGAAAGUAUAAUACUA